UUGUCGACCUUGAUUUUUUAUAAACUAGUUGAUCCAUUAGCUUUUUGAAGAAAUAUUGGAUAAAAUGAUUAAUACUUUCUUUUUAUAUCGUUAUAUAUAGUUCUGUGGUGCCCUGCUAGUUAAUUUACUAUUGAUCAUCGUUGCUGGGGUCUUGGAUGAUUCGACCUAGCUUAUGGACACUGUAUUGCUUGUCUUGUUAAGGUUGUUUUUGGAGGGCUAUAUAUGCCACUUCGUCUAUUGCUGGCCAUUCGCACAUUUAGCAGGGGAAUUUUCACCCUUGUCGAACUUUGGCUAAAAAACAAAACCCAAAGCCGUUUUCAUGUGUAAUGAAGAUGGCUAAGAUGGUUAAUCAAAUGCGUGCUGGGAUGGCGAUCGUGGGCGUCUUGAAGAUAUCCUUAGCAAUAAAUUUUGUGCUUUGUAACCUUCUCAUAGUUUUAAGAUAGGACAAACUAUUUUAAGUUGUAUUUGGGAUUGUUUCUAAAUUCAAAUUAAUAGAACUCAAAUAUAUGAAGUUGUAUGAACUUUCUUGAUACCAGUUUGAAGUUCUGGUAAUCCAACUAUUACAUAAAGCUACAUUUUAUUACUUUUUA
Ziziphus jujuba (common jujube) is the source of this 590-nucleotide long non-coding RNA. RefSeq lists it as uncharacterized. The transcript has 2 exons. NCBI's taxonomy places the organism in Eukaryota, Viridiplantae, Streptophyta, Magnoliopsida, Rosales, Rhamnaceae. The record is from RefSeq and is a predicted model, not a curated record.